RNAcentral lists this ribosomal RNA (396 nucleotides) under uncultured bacterium. RNAcentral describes it as "bacterial SSU rRNA". It matches the Rfam family "Bacterial small subunit ribosomal RNA", at positions 358 to 771 of the family's 1533-position model. The record is from RNAcentral.
GGAAUCUUGGACAAUGGGCGCAAGCCUGAUCCAGCCAUGCCGCGUGGAUGAUGAAGGCCCUAGGGUUGUAAAAUCCUUUCGUUGGGGACGAUAAUGACGGUACCCAAAGAAGAAGCUCCGGCUAACUUCGUGCCAGCAGCCGCGGUAAUACGAAGGCGGCUAGCGUUGUUCGGAUUUACUGGGCGUAAAGCGCGUGUAGGCGGACUUGUAAGUUGGGGGUGAAAUCCCGAGGCUCAACCUCGGAACAGCCUACAAAACAUCAAGUCUGGAGCAAGAUAGAGGCAAGUGGAAUUGCGAGUGUAGAGGUGAAAUUCGUAGAUAUUCGCAGGAACACCAGUGGCGAAGGCGACUUGCUGGAUCUUUGCUGACGCUGAGACGCGAAAGCGUGGGGAGCAA